Long non-coding RNA from Mus musculus (house mouse), 268 nucleotides. RefSeq annotates it as predicted gene, 46100. The record is from RefSeq and is marked validated. NCBI's taxonomy places the organism in Eukaryota, Metazoa, Chordata, Mammalia, Rodentia, Muridae. The transcript is spliced from 2 exons.
AGCAAAGAUUUCUCACCAGCAAACAACCAGGGGAAUCUGCAAAGCCCUUGAUGCGGAUGGAUGCGGUAAAGGACUCUUCCUUGGGCAAGAUGUUAGAUGUACAAAUGGAGAAAUGAGAGUGAGCAGCAACAUGUAAGCCUUUAUCUCCCUCUGUUUCUGGAUUUGUAGAUGCACCGUGACCAGAUGCUUCAAGAAUCUGUUGCUUUGACUUGUAUGCCCAAUGACUGUACCUUGAACUGUAAUUCAAAUAAAUCAUUUCUCCCUUAAA